This 1227-nucleotide long non-coding RNA is filed under the name Equus asinus (donkey). RNAcentral describes it as "lncRNA (ENSEASG00005034595.1)". Lineage: Eukaryota; Metazoa; Chordata; Mammalia; Perissodactyla; Equidae. The record is from RNAcentral.
AAAACUCAUCGCCAGACUAAGGCCCCAGCUGCAAUAGCAAAUCCCAGGGAAUGUUGUAGCCCUGUGAGAUUACGUGAGUGAAGCUCUCGCACAGCCUGUAUGUCAUUCCGUGCUUCCACAUCUGUUAGUUGUUUAUUGAAUCAAGAACUCAGAGCCCGUGACCUGCAGAAGGCAUUCGCACCCUUUGCCAUGGAGCUGCACGUGCACCUGGCCCAGGACUCAGAGAAGCUGAAGGAGGAGAUUCAAUGGGAGUCGAAGAUGCUGUGGGCCCAGCUGCUGCUUACCCCCCAACAAGGGGAGCCAGUAGUUCAAUGACAAUGUGUGUGAGCUGCAGUGACACCUGGCUGUCUGCACUGACCUUCAGAGUGUAAUGGCUGCUGCUUCAUUUCUGCCUUGCAGAUCUCGUGAAAAUUUUCCUUUUAGUCAGCCCUAACUCAGAAUCACACAGAGAAGGGAAUUCCAGGAAACAUAGUCCGAGUCUAGCUAAGUUGACACGCUACAAAACCACCAGAGCAGUCUUCCCCAUCUCAGUUAAUAACAACUCCAUCCUUCUAGUUGCUCAGGCCAAAAACCUUGGAAUAAUCCUUUUCUCUUCUCUUUCUCUCUUCCUCCCUACAGCCAACCUGUUGGUGCAUCCUACACGCUUUAUCUUCAAAAUAUAUUCAGAAUCCAGCUACUUCUGCCAUGUCCUCAGCUACCACUCUGGGCAAAGGCACCAUCGUGUUGCCUGGUUUGCUGCAGUAGCUUUCUAAGUAGUCUCCCUCCUUCUACCCUUGCCCUCCUACAUUUUAUGCUCAACACAGCACCUAGAGAAAGCCUAUUAUGACAUGUUUGGUCACGCCAUCCCUCUGCUCAAAACCCUCCAAUGGUCUCCCAUGUCACAUCCUUGUGAAUGGCCUACAAGAUCCACAUUACCCAGUCCCCUUCCCUCUUCCCUCUCCAUCCUCAUCUCCUAUUACUCACCUCCUCACUCAUUCCACUCUGGUCACGGUUGUCCUUACUGUUCUCAGAUAUGGCACCUCACCUCACCUGCUUUUGCAGUUGCUGUUCCCUCUGCCUGUAAUGCUCUCCCCUUAGAUAUCUACAUGGCUUUUCACCUCACCUCCUUCAAGUCUCUGCUCAAAUGCUGCCUUCUCAGUGAUGCCUUCCUGACUGCCUCCACCCAGCAUUCUAUUCCCCUUCGUUGCUUGAUUUUCUCUUCCUGGCUCUUACCACAUUCUAACUUAU